UACAUUGAUGGAAAUGUAUGGAAAGCAUACAGUUGGACCGAGAAACUAAUUCUCAAUCGCAAUCCUCUGACUACUGUCGAAGAUCCAUAUCUCUUUGAACUGCCGGCAUUAAAAUAUCUAGACAUGGGAACAACACACAUCACACUUACAACACUUAAGAACAUUCUCACGAUAACUGUUGAACUGGAAAAACUGAUCUUACCUAGCCAUAUGGUCUGCUGCCUCUGCCAAUUUAAAAAUAGCAUUGAGGCUGUCUCCAAGACAGUCAAGCUGCAUUGCAACACUGCAUGUCUGACUAACAGCAUACAUUGUCCUGAAGAAGCAUCUGUAGGCAAUCCAGAAGGAGCGUUCAUGAAGAUGUUACAAGCCCGGAAGCAGCACAUGAGCACUGAGCUGACUAUUGAGUCGGAGGCGCCCUCAGACAGCAGUGGCAUCAACUUGUCAGGCUUUGGGAGUGAGUAGCUAGACACCAAUGACGAGAGUGAUGUUAGCAGUGCACUAAGUUACAUCUUGCCUUAUCUCUCACUGGGAAAUCUAGGUGCAGAAUCAAUGUUGUUACCGUUCACUGAACAGCUAUUUUCA
Molecule: small RNA, 582 nt
Filed under: Pan troglodytes (chimpanzee)
Lineage: Eukaryota; Metazoa; Chordata; Mammalia; Primates; Hominidae
Description: retained intron
Source: RNAcentral